AUACCAGGAAUCUAUAACAAGGAAUUGAAAUAUUUGAUUGUAAAUGUAUUAACAGAGGCUAGGAUUGUAUUUGCUAAAAAUUGGAAAAAUGAGAAAAUACCAACCCAUGAGGAAGUUAUCAAGAAAGUAAUGGAAUAUGCUGAAAUGAGUAAAUUGACAUUUGAAAUUAGAGAACAAGAAG
Non-coding RNA from Notechis scutatus (mainland tiger snake), 181 nucleotides. Lineage: Eukaryota; Metazoa; Chordata; Lepidosauria; Squamata; Elapidae. The record is from RefSeq and is a predicted model, not a curated record.